This 7570-nucleotide long non-coding RNA is filed under the name Triticum aestivum (bread wheat). RNAcentral describes it as "long non-coding RNA (TAES_LNC002070)". Lineage: Eukaryota; Viridiplantae; Streptophyta; Magnoliopsida; Poales; Poaceae. The record is from RNAcentral.
UUUUUUUUUAUCUUUGCCACAUUUCUUCGAGGUAGAGGUUUCGGCAUCUGCCGUUUGGUGAUGGAAAAUUGUGUGUUUUGAAUAAUUCUGCAGGGAAUCCUGCAGCAUGGUUUGCCCUCAAACUCUGAAAAGUUGCUGGCACUGAAGAACAAGGUAACAUAGUUUGUUUAGACAAACAUUAUGUUUCUUCUUUAUUUUUCUAGUUUUGCCAAGAAAGUGUAACAUCCAUAGUUUGUUUCCUUCUUUUCAGGCAACCAUCAAUGUUUCAGGGCAGAAGUUCAAUGCUCUGGUGAUUGAAAAUUUCGUCUUGAGGCAGCCAUCCAGUGUGAAAGAAGUGAGCAUUUUGUAGAUUUUAUUUUGCUUUCAGUUGCAGCUGCACAACAAGAAUGUGUUGUUCACAUGAGUAAACAAACACCACAGGAAUUCUGGAAGUGCGAUGUCGAUGUCGAAGAGCAGCAGGUGAGGGGUCUCUAUGGAUUGAACAGUUCGGAGCCAAACAUUCUGUUCGCGAUGUGCUGCGGCACCAGAUCUUCGCCAGCAGUAAGUCCAUGCACUCCUAAACCCCUUAGUGAGUGAAUGACCAUACUCCUUGAAGUACCACGCAUGUUUUACCCUCCUCCUUGAAUGCUUGAAAUUUCUACCAGAUUUAUCACCAGUGAAAUCUGAAUUUUGUGUUGUACAUGCACAUAUUGUGAGUUGCAGCUGAGGAUAUACAAGGCGGACCGCGUGAUGAUGGAUCUGGAGAAGGCGAAGCUGGACUACCUGCAAGCAUCGCUGGUGGUGACCUCGACGAGGAGGCUGAUGAUCCCGGGCCUGAUACACUCCAACAUGCACGACUUCGCCAAGAACAUGGAGUCGCUGCUCCGGUGGAUCUGCGACCAGCUCCCCACAUCUUGGUCGCUCAGGAAAUCCAUGGUGGACUGCCUCAGGGGACACCAGGGCCACCUCAAGGUUGAAGACGUCGUGGAGGUGAUCCAAUAUGAUUAUGAGUUUCAGUACCUGUUGCCCAUGUGAACAUGGAUGCUAUUGUUGUAACUUAAGUGGCACCGCAUAAACGGCGUACAGAUUUCCUUGUAUAUAUUGUUGUCUUAGAGGUGGAAAAAGGUGGUUUCAUGCAUAUAGUUUUUGGGAUGAAAAUCUUUAUUUUUGUAUCAAAAUAAAAAAAAAUAGUUAUCAUUUCUUGUACGGUGAAUGGAGUAUUUGAGAGUACUUUGAGAGUACAUAAAAAACAUUGCCGAUUAUAAUUUAGUUUAUUCAUGUCGAGUUUCUAUUUUUUGCACACUAAACCUUUAUGGCUCCUCCACUUGCUACUGCUCCUUUAAAGGAAUGUUGGACACCCGCCUCUUAACGUCCCAUCUGUGUGUUUUAGCCAUCUGAAUGCAGUACAUACCUCAACCGCCCGAUCUUCGCCUCCCUUUCCGAUCUCUCUCCCGUCGCCGCUGCUGGACGACGCGGCCGUCGGUGGCAGCAGGACCUGCUGCUAUGCGGCGGCGACUUGGAGUGAGCAACGGCGACGGUAAAACACGACGACAUGGCAUCGAUUCCUGAUCCUAAGCGGCGGUUCAUGCAUGGCUGUAGCAGCAGCCGGCCAGAUGCAGCUGAUGCGGGAGCGGGACGUGUGCUAGCUACUCGCCUUGAUCUGCUGCACGCGGACUGCUAGCGCGGGCAUGGUGGCCGUGGGUCCUGCUCUGGUGUGCUGCAUGCCCCGUGUGCUAGCUAGGCUAGGGUGCCGCGGCACUGGGCGGAGCACGGAGGCGGCCGGUCCUCGGUUCUUCGUCCCGGUCGUCGUGGCGGAUCUUGCCUGAGUUGGUGGCGGCUGGCCAGGGCGCUCCCCAAAUCCGGCCCGUCGGGAUCUAGGGAAGUCCCAGGUGGUUGGCCCUACUGUUUUCCGUGCUCCAGAACCUCGAUCUGUUGUAGCCUUCUCGAUCUGCUGCAGCCUUCUCGAUCUGGACACCGACAGUUCCGGUCUUCCUCUCGGAUAUCUCAGCUUUUGGCACAUGCACUACCGGAAUAACCUUAUAUGCCUACGGCCAUAUCUAUGCCGACGGCUGCCGUAGGCAUAGAUGAAGCUAUGCCGACGGCCUGGCGAAUACCGUCGGCAUAGAAAAGCCGUCGGCAUAGCUUCAUCUAUGCCUACGGCAGCCAUAGGCAUAGUACGGCCGUCGGCAUACAUCGAUCUAUGCCUACGGCAGCCGUAGGCAUAGUUAGGCCGUCGGCAUAGAGGUGGCCCUGGUGGCUCGGGGACAGACGGUGGGCUGACGCCGUCAAAUCUAUGCCGACGGCCCUGACGGCGGCCGUCGGCAUAAAUAUCAUCUGUUUUUUUAUUAGGAGCUGCCACGCGGCAGAGCUAUGCCGACAGCAAAGCCGUAGGCAUAGUUAUCCAUCUUUGCCUACAGCAAGGCCGUAGGCAUAGCCCCGCCACGUGGCGCCUCCUGGUAGCCCCGAGAACUAUGCCUAGGCAUGGCCCUAGGCAUAGAUAUCAUCUGUUUUUUAUUUUAUAUUAUUUUUAUUUUUUUAAAAGUUAAAAUUUGAAUAAUUUAAAUCUAACUUAUCUAAACUUAAACAUACACAAAUUAUACAUCGACUUGGGGUAGAAUUUUCCAUAGAUUAUUAAUAUCCAAUUUAUUUUUAUUUUUGAGUAUGUUAGAAAUGUGACCUCGUGUACUUUUGCAUAUAUGUCCUUAUACUUUGUUAAAAACAUAAGUAAUUGAUACUUGGAUCGAUUUUGACAAAUUUUAUAUAGUUUCUUAUCAGAAUCUUGAAAGGAUUAUGUUGCUAUACUAUGUUUCAAAUUUGAACUAACUUAAAUCAUGUUUGCUUCAAAUUUACAGGAAACACCAUUUUGUUUUGAUUUUUUUUGUAUAUUUUGAGAAAAAACCCUUCGGGGGGUAGCAAUGCCACCAGAGCAUCGCGUCGGGUCCUCAUACAUGUCUUAAGGUGUGGUGGCACGUAUAAAGAGGCAAUACGCGGCUCCGGUGUGAGGUCCUCCCCCUCACGGACGGCAAUGAAAUCGAAGUAAUCCCUCUACGGUUUUGGCGUUGCAUGAAAUAGUUCUGAACACUCGGAGUGUGACCAAUUCAUGAGAUUUUUACACAGUGCAAACACAUGUGAUAUAAUAGGUGUGGCAAUUUCUUAUAUUUUUUAAAGAUGCAAGAUUAUGUGAAAAACCCCCCACUACGGAUUGUUCUUCGUGUGUCUACGAGUGUGGCCAGGGGCCUUCGGGGGCUAGCCAUGCCACCAAAUCUUGCGUUGGCUCCUCUUACAUGUCUGGAAGUGUGCUGUCAGGUGCAAACACCCGUCAUGCGGCUCCGGAGUGUGACCCAUUUCACGGAAGGCGCUGUCGCCAGCACUUGGACAGGGGAAACAGCCGUGCCGGGUCGACACGAGGGGGAUCCGAUGGUGGGUUGGGCCCAGACCUUGUUUUAUGAAAUGUUCCUAUGGGCUGACCUAUCACAAUCAGGUGGAAAUGUCCGUUGGUCAAAGGCCGUCCGGUGUAAGUCAAAGGCCUAGAUCUCCGGGUCAACGGGGCUAGGUAAGGCCGGUUGGGGGCCUUCGGGGGUAGCAAUGCCACCAAAACUUGCAUUGUGUCUUAACAUAUAUAUACAAGUGUAAUGGAGGGUUGAAAUAGCCAACAGAGCAACAUGCAGCACACUUCCUUCACAAAAUCACACACGUUCUUUCUCGAUAACCAGAUACUACCUUGGAGAUGGUGUAGUUUACAAGCGGCCUCCUGUCAGGCUUCUAUGAAAUAUGCUCAAACUUUUACAAGGUCCAUAUGACUAAACCGUGCCAGGUCCCGAGGAUUUCCGGCAUCGCAUGAUUUCCCGUGGAUUUUAACGGCUAGAUCCGGCAUGCUGCCGAGGUACAUUCACCCUAUGGUGGUGGGCCUACCCCUCCUUUGGUUGCACUAGGCCUACACAUACCGCAAAGACAUCAUAUGUGAUUUAACAAAACACUUUUGGACAUCAUUUCAGGUGGUCGCCGUGCAGAUCUGCAAUUUCCCGCGUUGAAACCCUACGGAUGCAGUAAAUGUCUCAAAUAUUGCAGGCGGGCCCGAAAAAUGCCAUGUACUGGCACGUGUCAUGCAAUUGCCCCCUUUGAGAGCACGAGAAGUUUCGAGGUCAACGGAGCAACGGGCAACGCACUUCCUUCACAAACCGGACACGUUCUCUCUCGAUAGCCAGAUACUACCUCGGAGAUAGUGCAGUUUACAUGCAACCUCCGGUCAAGCUUCUACGAAACGCGCUAAAACUUUCACCGCACCCUACAAGGGCCAUAUGAUGACACCAUGCCAGGUCCUGAGGAUUUCUGGCAUCAUAUGAUUUUUGGUCGAUUUUAAUGGCUGGAUCCGGCAUGCCGCCGAGGUACAUUCGCCUCUCGGUGGUGGGGCAUGCCCCCCUUGGGUUGCACUAGGCCUACACAUACCGCAAAGACAUCAUAUAUGAUUUGGAAAACCACUUCUGGACAUUAUUUCAGGUGGCCGCCGUGCAGAUCUGCCAUUCCCGCAUUGAAACCCUACGGAUGCAUUAAAUGUAUCAAAUAUUGCAGGCGGGCCCGAAAAAUGCCAUGUACUGACACAUGUCAUGCAAUUGCCCCCUUUGAGAGCACGAGAAGUUUUGAGGUCAACGGAGCAACGGGCAACGCACUUCCUUCACAAACUGGACAUGUUCUCUCUCGAUAGCCAGAUAGUACCUCGGAGAUGGUGCAGUUUACAAGCGACUUCCGGUCAGGCUUCUACGAAACACGCUAAAACUUUCAGAACACCCUACAAGGGCCAUAUGACGACACCGUGCCAGGUCCCGAGGAUUUCCGGCAUCGUAUGAUUUUCGGUAGAUUUUAACCGCUGGAUCCGGCAUACCGUCGAGGUACAUUCGCCCCCCGAUGGUGGCGCCUACCCCUCCUUUGGUGCUGUCGUUCGAUGCUGAGGGACGUCGCACGUAUCUUCGUCGACGGUGACGGGGAAAGCCGAAGAGAUGUUCCGUGCGACUGUCCGUAGGUCCCCGCCCGGACUCAUAGUCGUCAUACCGGACGCACCAUUCCCCGAUCCAUUCCCUCCCCACCUCACCUCACCAUCUCCUCCUCGCCGCCCUCCUCUCCCGUCACGGAUCGUCGACGGUCGGUCCAAGAGGGUAGAAAAAAAUAGAAGAAAAACAAAAGGGAAAACACAAUUGUAUGAGCUUGGUUUCUAUUGGUGGAAACGUUUGUGCCACGGAUCGAUGACGUGGCGCAAAUCCAUCCAUCUAGCUGUCCACCCCACAACCAUCCAUCCAUCCAUCUAGAGAAAAGGAGAAAAAAAGAAAAAGAAAAAAGAGCCCACCCCUCUGUCUCUCGCACCUCGCUCUCUCCCCGCGAACCUCUCUGUCUCUCGCGAAUCCUCUCUCCCCCACGAACCCCUCUCCCUCGCCGCCGCCACCACCGACGCCGGCUGGUUCCGGCGAGCUCCGGCGGCGCGCAGCACACCCCCGAGCUCCCCUAGGUCCACUCCACCCUCCCCUCCGUCCAGAAUCGGCGCUCCCGUCCUCCACCAACCCCGUGGCUAGCUAGGGUUUCGACCGCCACCCCUAACAUCGCCGGGAUCAGCCAGAUCCGGCGACGGCGAGGCCAGAGCUCGACAGAUCCGUUACGGGCGUGGCGCAGGUACGUCCUUCCCCUCUUUCCUCGCCCGGAUCCACCCUCCCCACCUCACCUUCUCCUUUCCUUCCCUUGCUGCAGGUCACCUUGGUGCGGUCUGGACGGCGGCGACGGCAGGAGGGCGCCGUCCUUCCUACUCGAGGAGGCGGAGGACGAGGGGCGCACCUAGCUGGCGGCCCUGUCCUGCUCGAGGAGGCGGGCGCUGCCGAGCUCAAGCACGGCCACGACGACCCACCUCGGCAGGUAGCACCUCCAUCUCCUCCGCCUCCUUCCUCUGCUCACUACUGCUGCUGCUAAGUAGAGGAAUAUGUGAUGCACUGCACCACACGAAGCUGGCUAUAUCCUUCACCGGUAGCUAGUUUGAUCUAACCUGAUGGACAAGCUAACAUACAUAGCAGUAGUUGCUUUUUUAUCAUCCCCCCACCGGCCAGAGCACAACGUACACAUACACACAGAGAGGAAAUCUCUAGUUAGCUUUUUUUAGUUUGUCCUCUAAUUUGUUAUUGGCCAUAGGCUCGUGACAAUCUCUUUUUUUCUUUGUUGAUGCUUACAAUCAAUUCCAUAAUUUACCAGUGUAUAAGUAUAUAGCCCCUAGCCAUGUCUACUUCCAGUCCUACUCGGACACACAUAUUCACAUGUAUUCUGCACGUACGCGUGGAAUCACGUUCAAGGGAACUUUAGCACUACUUUACAAUGUACAUGAAGAAUCGGUUUACUCCAAUUGACAAGUAAAGUACAGUGGCCUAGUUGGAUCCUGUGACAAAUCAUGUGACAAAUUCACAUCCUAGGCUUGAUUCCUGGCCGAGCCAGCUUUUACUUCAAUUGACUGCAUGAUUAAAGUAUAGAUAUAGAUAGUAUAUUUGUACUGGUAUGAUGAACAAGAGCUUCCAGUUAAUUACAUAAUAUUGGUGAUGUAGUUUUACUUGCUGUGUAUGCUUGCUUAGUUGUCCAUUGGGCCGCUCUCUUGUAUCGUUUGAGUGCGCCAAUUAGUUCGGCCAGCCUCUAUGAUUUAUUAUGUAGCUUUUGGAGUGCUUCUAUCUGUCACGCCCCAAAACAUAGCAGUGACAAUUGCCACAUGCUUAUAAAUUCAAUUCAAAUUUAUAAGCAUGUUAAGCCAUCAGGUUAACCAAGGUAGUACACUGGAAUAAUUUUUAUUCAUUAUCAUAGGAACGACUACAAGUGUUCUUGCUAGUACAUGCAUGCAAGUUUCUUUAUUUCAUCCCCUCCCGUAGUACUACUUCUACUGUUCACCAUCAUUUCCAUUGCUCAUCUCUGCAAAAAGAAAAGAUAGCAAGAAUGAGUAUGAUAACAUACUCAGCAAGCACACAUGUAGCAGGGAAAAACUGUGACCGGUACAAUGUUUUUGCCAUCGUGAUGCCUUAGUGUUAGAUUUUUCAUUAGGACUGGAACAUUAGAAGAGGAAAUAUUAUCUCAAAAGAUCACCAAUAUAUCAUCCCUAGCUUCUGCACAAGAUUAGCUAGUCUUGCAUGUGCUAUUCUUAGCAUAACGAGUGUACAGGUCCAACAAGUAAAAGUGAGGCGUACUUAGUCAGAACAAGGCAUGUGGUACAAGAUAGAAAGAGAGAAAAGACAAAUUAAUCUAGAGGAGUUCUUGGGAGAUAGGAUGCAUGCAUCUUUCACAACUAGCAUGCAGAACCAAACCACCAUGCGUACUGUACAAGGACACACUAGCUGAGGUGAAAGAAUUAACAACAAGAAUAGUGCUACAGACUAGCCAUAUAGAGAAGUACUAGCAACAGCGGCAUGGCAUGAGUAAAGAAAGAGAAGGAACAGGACAUCUAGAGAAGCUAGAUGGAACGCAUGCUUGCCUUCUCCCGAUUCUCUUGACACAGCAGCAAGAUUUCUAACGCCUGCUCUGCACCAGCAGCUACGGCUCUACUACUACUACCUCUAAUGAAGAGAGACAAUGGUUGUGGUGU